CAGGAGCGCCGGCUGUGGGGAUGGUGUUUCUCCCGCCGGGGGUGGCUGGCUCACCCUGGCACUGCACCGCAGUGGGGGUGGACCGGAUGCCGCUGAACUGCCUGGACUUUCAAGAGGUAAAUUCCGAGGAGAUUCUAGAAGCCAGACCUCGGAGUGGGGGAGGUGCUAGGCCUCCCUCCCACCUGGAUAACCUGACCCGGAGCCUGGGGAAGCUGGCUCGGCACCCCCAGCCCUGACCUCUCCUCGUGGGCCUGGCACGGCAGGCUCUGGGCACAGCCAGGACCCCCAGGGCCUCAGUCUAGCCCCUCAUUUUCCAAGGAGGCAACCGAGGCCCAGCCAGGCUUUCAAGGCUGGGCAGAGCCAGCCUGGAACUCAAGUCCCCAACAACUCCCAGUCAUGGAAUGUUGUACAAGAGGAUUCUGGCAGCCAACCCUGACAUCUUUAAAAAUGUUCUUUCUGGCCCUUAACUACUGGGGCACCACAGUUCCUCGGCUGUCUGUCUUUGUGCUGGGCUGUGCCUGGCUUUGUCUGUAGCUGUCAGUCCUAUUUUGUCCGCUAGGAACAAGGCCAGGGCAGCCUCUGUGAUCCCCUCGAGCUGGCCAGUCUUCCCUGACCCUUCCCUCUCGGCCCCUGGCCUUGCUGUAGUCAUGUCCAUGGACACCUCCUGCCCACCCUGGCGGGCACCACUGUGUGGACACAGUCCUGGGAGGGGUGGGGGGCACCACUUUGGGAACGGAGGGUCUGAACUCUGCCCUGUCUUUGAGCCUUUGUUUUCCUUGUGUGCAGACGAGUGCUCCAGCCAGGUCCUCUCCAAAGUCUCGGCCCCCUGCCUGGUGCAAUCUCUGCCUGACAAACCCGGCCCCCCGAAGUGCUCUCACUCCUUCAAGUCUCAUUUUGUUAACAGGGGGCUGUUCUUGUGGAGGGUCCCACACCCAUUGUCUUAGCUGACCCCACAGCAGGCAGGUGGGGAGGGCAGGGAUCUUCUGCCCACUCUGAGGACAAGGAGACAGCCUGGAAGGGGUGGCUGGAGGGUCUGGCUCUGUCCUUUCCGCUGCGCUGGGCCAGGAGCAGGAUCCCAGUUGCCCGACUACCCUGUAGUCCACACCUGGAGGAUGCUGUCACUCAUGAGUGCCCCGGACCUGGGGCGCUGUCCUGGCACUUAGCACCCCUUCCAGAUGAGGGGGCAGCCCAAGCAGGCACCUAGCAGGUGGGAGACAGAGCUGGGCCUGGCACCAACCUGGCUUCCUUCGAGGCUUUAUGGGUCCCGGGGGCAUCUGGGAAAACUCUUGAGUUGGGUUUUGGUAGCAGGAACGGGUCAGGCCCCACAUCCCAAGCAGAGGUCGUGGGGACUGGGAGGCAGCUCGCUGCCCUAAGAGGACGGUACUGGGGCCCCAGGCCCAGAGAUGAGCCUCGUCCCACCCCACGUGAUACACCCCUCCCCCUGCACGCGGCAGGCCCCUCACAGGGCUCUACUCCAGUGGCGUGUGCUGGCGGCUGGGGAGGCCCGAGAGGAUGGUGGUUCCAUGGAAAUGGGAGAGUGGACACUGUCCAGGGCGCCGGUCCCAGCCCCAGGGCCAGCGAGGUCAAGGUCUCCUUGCUGGGCCUUCCUUCCACUAGGGGUGACCACAGGAGGUGGUGUGAAUGCCCGCAGGGGCUGUUCUGAUCAAGUCCACUCAGCCUCUCCCUGUCUGCGUGUCAAGGGCACGCCAGCAGGCAGGGCACUCCCUGCACCGCCGCACAAACCGGCAUCUUCUUCGUCCUGACUUGAGUGGCCUCCA
Molecule: long non-coding RNA, 1778 nt
Filed under: Homo sapiens (human)
Lineage: Eukaryota; Metazoa; Chordata; Mammalia; Primates; Hominidae
Description: HSALNT0404604
Source: RNAcentral